UCCAGGGUAGCCUAGUGGACAUGGCAUCUGCCCAGUAAGCGGAAUUACUGUGGGUUCGAUUCCCAUCCCUGGAA
This 74-nucleotide transfer RNA is filed under the name Cordylochernes scorpioides. RNAcentral describes it as "tRNA-Thr". It matches the Rfam family "tRNA". From Rfam's summary of the family: Transfer RNA (tRNA) molecules are approximately 80 nucleotides in length. Their secondary structure includes four short double-helical elements and three loops (D, anti-codon, and T loops). The record is from RNAcentral. Lineage: Eukaryota; Metazoa; Arthropoda; Arachnida; Pseudoscorpiones; Chernetidae.